AUUGAACGCUGGCGGAAUGCUUUACACAUGCAAGUCGAACGGCAGCACGGGAGCUUGCUCCUGGUGGCGAGUGGCGAACGGGUGAGUAAUGCGUCGGAACGUACCGAGUAAUGGGGGGAUAACGCAGCGAAAGCUGUGCUAAUACCGCAUACGCCCUGAGGGGGAAAGUGGGGGAGUCGCAAGACCUCACGUUAUUCGAGCGGCCGACGUCUGAUUAGCUAGUUGGUGGGGUAAAGGCCUACCAAGGCGACGAUCAGUAGCGGGUCUGAGAGGAUGAUCCGCCACACUGGAACUGAGACACGGUCCAGACUCCUACGGGAGGCAGCAGUGGGGAAUUUUGGACAAUGGGGGCAACCCUGAUCCAGCCAUUCCGCGUGAGUGAAGAAGGCC
This 390-nucleotide ribosomal RNA is filed under the name uncultured bacterium. RNAcentral's name for it is "bacterial SSU rRNA". It matches the Rfam family "Bacterial small subunit ribosomal RNA", at positions 30 to 416 of the family's 1533-position model. The record is from RNAcentral.